GACGAACGCUGGCGGCGUGCUUAACACAUGCAAGUCGAACGGAAAGGCCCUGCUUUUGUGGGGUGCUCGAGUGGCGAACGGGUGAGUAACACGUGAGUAACCUGCCCUUGACUUUGGGAUAACUUCAGGAAACUGGGGCUAAUACCGGAUAGGAGCUCCUGCUGCAUGGUGGGGGUUGGAAAGUUUCGGCGGUUGGGGAUGGACUCGCGGCUUAUCAGCUUGUUGGUGGGGUAGUGGCUUACCAAGGCUUUGACGGGUAGCCGGCCUGAGAGGGUGACCGGCCACAUUGGGACUGAGAUACGGCCCCGACUCCUCCGGGAGGCAGCAGUGGGGAAUAUUGCACAAUGGGCGGAAGCCUGAUGCAGCAACGCCGCGUGCGGGAUGACGGCCUUCGGGUUGUAAACCGCUUUCGCCUGUGACGAAGCGUGAGUGACGGUAAUGGGUAAAGAAGCACCGGCUAACUACGUG
This 468-nucleotide ribosomal RNA is filed under the name uncultured bacterium. Its description in RNAcentral is "partial 16S ribosomal RNA". It matches the Rfam family "Bacterial small subunit ribosomal RNA", at positions 28 to 507 of the family's 1533-position model. The record is from RNAcentral.